UGCCAGCCGCCGCGGUAAUACGGAGGGUGCAAGCGUUGUUCGGAUUUACUGGGCGUAAAGGGCGCGUAGGCGGUCUGUUAAGCUAGAGGUGAAAUCCCGGGGCUCAACCCCGGAACUGCUUCUGGAACUGGCAGACUAGAGAUAGGUAGAGGCAGGUGGAAUUCCAGGUGUAGAGGUGAAAUGCGUAGAGAUCUGAAGGAACAUCAGUGGCGAAGGCGACCUCCUGGACUGAUAUUGACGCUGAGGUGCGAAAGCGUGGGGAGCAAACAGGAUUAGAUA
RNAcentral lists this ribosomal RNA (279 nucleotides) under uncultured bacterium. Its description in RNAcentral is "partial 16S ribosomal RNA". It matches the Rfam family "Bacterial small subunit ribosomal RNA", at positions 506 to 784 of the family's 1533-position model. The record is from RNAcentral.